RNAcentral lists this ribosomal RNA (428 nucleotides) under uncultured bacterium. RNAcentral's name for it is "partial 16S ribosomal RNA". It matches the Rfam family "Bacterial small subunit ribosomal RNA", at positions 354 to 796 of the family's 1533-position model. The record is from RNAcentral.
GUAGGGAAUAUUGCACAAUGGGGGAAACCCUGAUGCAGCGACGCCGCGUGAGUGAUGAAGGCCUUCGGGUCGUAAAGCUCUGUCGUAUGGGACUAACACAAUGAAGGUACCAUGCAAGAAAGGAUCGGCUAGCUUCGUGCCAGCAGCCGCGGUAAGACGAGGGAUCCUAGCGUUGUUCGGAAUCAUUGGGCGUAAAGCGGGUGUAGGCGGAUUUAUAAGUCAGGUGUGAAAUCCCAGGGCUCAACCCUGGAAGUGCACUUGAUACUGUAAAUCUUGAGUGUGGUAGAGGUUACUGGAAUUGUUGGUGUAGUGGUGAAAUACGUAGAUAUCAACAGGAAUACCGGAGGCGAAGGCGAGUAACUGGGCCAACACUGACGCUGAGACCCGAAAGCGUGGGGAUCAAACAGGAUUAGAUACCCGUGUAGUCC